RNAcentral lists this long non-coding RNA (1033 nucleotides) under Leptinotarsa decemlineata (Colorado potato beetle). Its description in RNAcentral is "uncharacterized LOC111518302, transcript variant X1". The record is from RNAcentral. Lineage: Eukaryota; Metazoa; Arthropoda; Insecta; Coleoptera; Chrysomelidae.
ACACCGGCUUUUAAGAGAUGAGGAAGGCCAAGGUCCUCCUUUCGAGUUGGAAAACCUGAGUGAUGAGGAAGUAGUUAAAAACUUUAGAUUCCAAAGGGGACAUCUUCAAAGAAUUAAAAAUGUUUUUUUAAUUCCUGAUGAGGUUGUCACGGAGGCUGGUGAUCGUGUCAAUGGAUUAAAAGCAUUGUGCAUAGUACUAAAGAGGUUAGCCUAUCCAAGUAGACUUAUUAACCUAAAAACCUUUUUCAAUAUGUCUGCGCAAUCAUUGUCUCAAGUAAUCCGGACAACAGUAGAUAUAAUGAUUGCCCAAAAAGGGGACCUUUUGUUGGACUUAAACCUUCUAUAGUGGUUAGACAGGCAAAAACUGGAAUCAUAUGCUCAAGCAAUUCUUGCAAAGGGGGCAGCUAUAAACAACUGCUGGGGAUUCAUUGAUGGAACUGCCCGUGCAAUAUGUCGUCCUUCCAUUAACCAGGAAGAAUACUAUUCUGGACACAAAAAGUUUCAUUGCCUCAAAUAUCAAAGUGUGCUUUGUCCAGAUGGCAUAAUCACAAGUUUAAUGGGAGCAUUUCCUGGACGUAGGCAUGAUGCAGGCAUAUUUAGGGAGAGCAAUUUGUACCAGCAACUGGAAGAGAAAGUAGUGUUUGGUGAAAACGAUAAAUUUGUUUUGUUUGGUGACCAGGGAUAUGGCCUUAUGGAAUUACUUAUCACCCCUUUUCCAGGACAGCCAAAUCUGUUGCCACCUCAACAAUUACAAUUUAAUAAUUCGAUGAAAACUCUUCGAGUUGCAGUUGAAUGGGGUUUUUCGAAAAUUAUACAACAAUUUGCAUUUAUAGAUUGAAAAAAAAUUAAAAACUAUUAAUGCAGGACUUGCAGUCCCUAUAUGAGGUCUCUGUAUUAUUAACAAAUGCACACACAUGUUUAUACGGUUGUCAAACAGCAGACUACUUUAAUCUGCAACCCCCAAAUUUAGAGGAAUAUUUUGGAUAGUUUUUUGUAAUAAUUGUUGAAAUUAAAAAAAAAAUAUUAUUUAUUA